UGCCAACUUCUCCAGUGACUUGGCAGCGAAAGUUUUAGAAAUUGCAUAUACAGAAACUAGAUCGUAAGGUACGGAAACCACACUGCCAAACAGGAAAAUAAAAUUUUUGCAGACAUCUCAUUGGCCAGCAUAAAAGAGAGGGAAAGAUUUAAACACAAAGAAAACAUUAACCAGAGGGGACUAUAUACCAAAAGACAAAACAAAAAUUUUCUUCUAUAUAUCUGUGAAUGUCCAAUUUUCAUCACAUGCCUGUGGGGAGAACAACUGUAAAUUUGACGGGAUACACAAUAUGUGGUUAGAAAAUUAACCUGCCGCCUCGAGCAAAGGAUCUCAUGAAGGAUUUAAAUCUAACAUCUCUCAAGGCUAAGUCAGGCAGAAGGAUUGCAAGGAUGCAAAAAUCACUCCUUACUGGUCUGAGAAAGGUAUGCCUGGUCAGCUUUGGCAAGGCGAUUCUGGAACAUAGACCACUCGUUUCUGCACCUUGCUCUUACCUGUGAAUAGAAUAGGAAAACAGAACAAGGCAGGGGGGGAGGGGGGGUGUUGUGGAGGAGAGAGAGGAGAGAGAGGGUUGUUGUGGCUACUUUAGAACUUUUGUUGAUAUGGAAUUAUAAAUAUAUUUCAAAUACAGAAAUUAGAAACUAUGGGUUCUAACAGAAGAGCCGAGUACUCGUACAUACCCCUUCCCAUGGAGCUUUCCCAUUCUCUGACUCUCCCUGGUUCCCAAGAGAAGGAACUACUUGAUGAAUAAUCCACUGUGAAUCAACCACUCCAAUUUUUUCAUGUGCAGGCUGUUGAGUAAAACAAAAUUAUUAAAACUUUAAGAUGGCAGUGACUAGCUGAUCAAAGAUAUGAAGUGGCUCUCCCUGUUUACACAACGAAAACUUGCUUGGCAUUAUGCAAUCUAAUUAUAACAUGGUAAUCAUCUUGCAAAAAAUAGAUACCUAUUAUAAAAAACUGCAGAGAGAAGACGUGUAGAAGCAUGCCUGUGCAAACAUAAAGACACAGGUAGACAGACAAACAUAUAGGUCAUUUUUGCAUUUGACUUAUUGAACUCUCAACUGCUUUUUGAAUGAGAUGGAUUUUGAAAAUCACUUAUCCUUUGUGUGGUCUGAAAUUUUAACAGACUCAAAUCACCCAUUGGCAUCCAUAAUCUGAUGCCAUGCAUAUGUCUCUGUCAAUAAAAAAAGAACAAAAUCCUCUACAUAGAUCAUAUAAUAAGCUUUGACAGAAUUUCUCCCACUACAUAUUUUUAUAGACAUUAUACUGAGUUUCCUUUCCCAAAUAAGAUGUGAAAGGUAGAAACAACAAAUGAGCCUACAUGAAAAAGAUGACCAAUGCUCUGCUGCCAUACCACCAACAGGCUUCAUCAACAUGACAUUUAUCAUCUCUUAAUAGGCACAUUUGCAAGAAAACAAAUGAAAGCGUAUCCUGCAAUGCCUUCAAUUACAAAAAAGAAAAGGCCACAAUAGAUGAAAACCACUGACCUCUACACAUCUUCUGAGAGCAAAAUCCAAUCCCCAUCCAUGCACCAAAUCAUUCUGAAUCAUAUGCCACACA
This 1557-nucleotide unclassified non-coding RNA is filed under the name Hevea brasiliensis (rubber tree). The record is from RNAcentral. Lineage: Eukaryota; Viridiplantae; Streptophyta; Magnoliopsida; Malpighiales; Euphorbiaceae.